This 238-nucleotide unclassified non-coding RNA is filed under the name Hevea brasiliensis (rubber tree). The record is from RNAcentral. Lineage: Eukaryota; Viridiplantae; Streptophyta; Magnoliopsida; Malpighiales; Euphorbiaceae.
GGCAAGGACCUUGAUACUGUGAGGUUUGUCAACAUUAUGCCUACACUUGAAAUCUUUAUUAAUAUGCGUAAAUUAUUGACUCAAAUUCAUGAUUAAUUUAUGCGCAAAUACUUCUAACGCCAACCUUCACACGUAGGCCCGUGGCGGACUGGGCCAAGGGUGCUGGUGUAAAGCAGUUUUUGUUCAUCAGCAGCGCUGGAAUCUAUGUACGGAGUGAUGAACCUCCUCAUGUUGAAGG